This 1916-nucleotide unclassified non-coding RNA is filed under the name Amphibalanus amphitrite. RNAcentral's name for it is "glucose transporter type 1-like, transcript variant X2". The record is from RNAcentral. Lineage: Eukaryota; Metazoa; Arthropoda; Thecostraca; Balanomorpha; Balanidae.
UGGAAGAGCGUCACGUGGGUCGUCCUCGCGGUGCGGCGUCCCGCGGUGAUAUUGUUGUUCCGGUUAUAUAAUCCUACCGGGUGACCGCCGUUGGCGAUGAAGAUGGCCUCCGACGACGAGCCGGCCGUGCGGCCGCCUCCCAAACAGGGUCUGACGGCGUUUCUGGUGGCUUCCAUAUUCUCGGCCGUGCUGGGCAUGUUCCAGUUUGGCUACAACACGGGCGUCAUCAACGCACCGCAAUUGAAAAUCGAGGACUUCAUCACCGCGGUGUGGAAGGAGCGGUAUGGGGAGGUCAUCGACGAGUCGACGCUCGACCUCAUCUGGUCGGUGGCCGUCUCCAUCUUCGCCAUCGGAGGCAUGGCCGGCGGCUUCUCCGGUGGAUACGUGGCCAACCGGCUCGGCAGGAGGGGCGGCCUGAUGAUGAAUGACGUCAUUGGUAUCGUGGGCGCCGCGUUAAUGGGCUUCAGCAGCAUGGCCGACUCGUACGAGCUGCUCAUCGUCGGCCGGCUCGUCAUCGGCUACAACUGCGGCAUGAGCUCGGCCCUGGUGCCGAUGUACGUAUCGGAGAUAGCGCCUGUGAACCUGCGGGGCGGUGUCGGUAUCGUCAACCAGCUGGCAGUGACCAUCGGCAUGCUGCUCUCACAGAUUCUGGGCCUUGGUCAACUGCUUGGCACCGAUGACGGCUGGCCCCUGCUGCUUGGUCUGGCCGUCUGCCCGUCAGCGCUACAGCUGGUGCUGCUGCCCAUGUGUCCCGAGUCACCGCGCUAUCUGCUCAUCACCAAACAACGCGAGCAGGACGCACGCAAGGCUCUGCGGAAGCUGCGCCACGACAGUGCUAUAGAGGCGGACGUGGAGGAGAUGAAGGCUGAGGAGCGGGCGCAGCAGGCCGAGUCCAGCUUCACGAUGCUGCAGCUGAUCACGUCGCCGACGCUGCGCAAGCCGCUCAUCAUCGCCAUCGUGAUGCAGCUCUCUCAGCAGCUCAGCGGCAUCAACGCAGUCUUCUACUACUCGUUCGACAUCUUCUUGGACGCCCACCUGUCUGAGGAGUCGGCCGGCUACGCCACCAUGGGCGUCGGCGUGGUGAUGGUGCUGAUGACGGGCGUCUCGAUCCUGCUGAUCGAGCGCGAGGGCCGGCGCACGCUGCACCUCUGGGGCCUGGGCGGCAUGUUCUUCUUCUCCGUGUUCAUCACCAUCACGUUCCUGGUGAAGGGGAUCAUCUCGUGGAUCUCCUACCUGUCGGUGGUGUGCACGUUCGGGUUCGUCGUGUUCUUCGCCGUCGGGCCUGGCUCCAUCCCGUGGAUGAUCACUGCCGAGCUCUUCUCACAAGGUCCGCGGCCGGCUGCCAUGAGUAUCGCAGUGCUGGUCAACUGGUUCUGUAACUUCAUCGUCGGCAUCGCCUUCCUCCCGAUGAAGAACGCGCUGGAGAACUACACGUUCCUGCCGUUCUCGGCGCUGCUGGCGAUCUUCUGGGGAUUCACGCUCAAAAUGGUGCCCGAGACCAAGGGAAAGACGUUCGAGGAGAUCGCCGCGCUGUUCCGACGAUCCGAGCCACUGGUGCCCGAGCAGCAGCAGCAGCAGUACAAGACCGACGCGGGCACUGACAACGGCGCGUUCGAGUCUAGCUCGCAGCUGUAGCCGCCGUGUCUCUGCCCGCCCGCACCGCCCACCGCUGCGGGCCCGCGUGUGUGUGUGUCUGUGUGUGCGUGUGUGGUGCCGCGCGCUGUGUGACGCUGUUUGCCGUGACGCGUCACGUCUGGGGCUGCGUGACGCGAGUGACCGUCACCCGGCCGGUUGCAGGCCGAUCACCAACGGCUCCCAGCCGGCGGCGGCGGCGCGGUUCGAGGUGCCGCCCCUGCUCGAGGCCCGCUACGUGCCGCCCUCAGCUCGGGAGGUCGCGCCUGAGCUGGUCAGCCUGC